AUGAACGCUGGCGGCGUGCCUAAUACAUGCAAGUCGAGCGAACGGACGAGAAGCUUGCUUCUCUGAUGUUAGCGGCGGACGGGUGAGUAACACGUGGAUAACCUACCUAUAAGACUGGGAUAACUUCGGGAAACCGGAGCUAAUACCGGAUGAUAUUUUGAACCGCAUGGUUCAAAAGUGUAAGACGGUCUUGCUGUCACUUAUAGAUGGAUCCGCGCUGCAUUAGCUAGUUGGUAAGGUAACGGCUUACCAAGGCAACGAUGCAUAGCCGACCUGAGAGGGUGAUCGGCCACACUGGAACUGAGACACGGUCCAGACUCCUACGGGAGGCAGCAGUAGGGAAUCUUCCGCAAUGGGCGAAAGCCUGACGGAGCAACGCCGCGUGAGUGAUGAAGGUCUUCGGAUCGUAAAACUCUGUUAUUAGGGAAGAACAUAUGUGUAAGUAACUGUGCACAUCUUGACGGUACCUAAUCAGAAAGCCACGGCUAACUACGUG
This 496-nucleotide ribosomal RNA is filed under the name uncultured bacterium. Its description in RNAcentral is "partial 16S ribosomal RNA". It matches the Rfam family "Bacterial small subunit ribosomal RNA", at positions 29 to 507 of the family's 1533-position model. The record is from RNAcentral.